AUCAUUUUGCAUACUGAAAAAUAGUCCGCUUAAGUUUCAUGAAAUUUAUUGAAAAAUAGCACCAUUUCCAUACCGCCAUUUUGCACCUUAUAAUUUCUCUCCCACGAGACCAAACACGACGAGAAAGCCCUAAUCUCCAUCUCCUCUCCUCCUGAAGAUGACGACCCCACAACAAUAGCAAAAUUAACGCCGCCGGUUUUCUCACCCCUAAUGCACUCUAUCAGUAGUCGUCUAUCCGGCGUAAGUUUGUCCAUUUAAUAUUAAAUUUGCAAUUCUCUUUAGACCUUAAUCUUUAUCGAUACAACUCAUAGUCUGGAAGAUUUUACUUUAGGGUUCCUUCACUAAUCAAUUUCACGCUGAAGACUUAGCAUGUUUAAUAUGGCUAUCGAAGCCAAUCGGGCAAUCAAUCACACUUCUUCAUUUAAUCAAAUGCGAUUUCAAUUUUUCAAACUCACAAAACCCAUUUCAAUAUGAUUUGAACUCAUACAAACAGAGAAUUGAAGAGUCACACUCAUACAGAAGAGUUACUUUUAAAUAUAUGGACGUUGUUGCAGUUUCUAUUUCUUGUACACCAAAACCAUGAAAAGUGUUCUAUGUGAGUGAUCAGGUGUUACUUUUUGUGGUAGGAAUGAAUUGUAAAUCUCAACAACAGGAAGGUAUAUGGAAAAUCCGUCUGACCUCAUUAAUUUUUUGUUUUUCACAAUUUUUCUUUUGUUUUUUACAAUGCAUAGGACUACAGGAGUCCCAAGUCUUAUGGAAACAUGGUUGCGAAAUACUUAAUUUAUGGUCCUUGAGGAAAGCAGUAUAGGUAUUGUAAGCAUAUGGUAAAAGAGGUCGACUAGUGUAGCAAUAUCCCACAACAUUUUUUGGUAUGCUUUUUUAAUAAGCUUUACAAUUUUCAGUUGUUGAUGUUAUACAUUAUACUUAAUAAAGAGGUUUUAUCUGUUUUUGUUACUAACAAUCCUUUGACAAAGUUGCCCCCUCAUUCUUCAAGAAAAGAAUCCAAUUGGUAUAUUGGUAUGCUUUUUAUUAAGCUUCCGUUUUAAGUGGUGACCAGUGUAGCAUCAUACUUCCAUUUGUUAUGCUUUUAUUUUUUUUCAAUGUAUUUGUUGGUUUAACAUUUUUUUUUCAAUUUAUUUAUAAUCCUAUUUUAAUUUUAUAUCUAGUAUUGGUUUAGUUAUUUUUUCA
This is a long non-coding RNA of Lactuca sativa (garden lettuce), 1188 nucleotides long. RefSeq lists it as uncharacterized. The record is from RefSeq and is a predicted model, not a curated record. NCBI's taxonomy places the organism in Eukaryota, Viridiplantae, Streptophyta, Magnoliopsida, Asterales, Asteraceae.